This 279-nucleotide ribosomal RNA is filed under the name uncultured bacterium. RNAcentral's name for it is "partial 16S ribosomal RNA". It matches the Rfam family "Bacterial small subunit ribosomal RNA", at positions 506 to 784 of the family's 1533-position model. The record is from RNAcentral.
UGCCAGCAGCCGCGGUAAUACAGAGGGUGCUAGCGUUAUUCGGAAUUACUGGGCGUAAAGCGCAUGUAGGUGGAAUGUCAAGUCAGGCGUGAAAUCCCGGGGCUCAACCUCGGAACUGCGUUUGAAACUGAUAUUCUUGAGUAUGGGAGAGGAAAGCGGAAUUCCUGGUGUAGAGGUGAAAUUCGUAGAUAUUAGACAGAAUACCAAUUGCGAAGGCAGCUUUCUGGAUCAUUACUGACACUGAGGAACGAAAGCAUGGGUAGCGAAGAGGAUUAGAUA